RNAcentral lists this ribosomal RNA (1372 nucleotides) under uncultured bacterium. Its description in RNAcentral is "bacterial SSU rRNA". It matches the Rfam family "Bacterial small subunit ribosomal RNA", at positions 28 to 1381 of the family's 1533-position model. The record is from RNAcentral.
GAUGAACGCUGGCGGCGUGCCUAAUACAUGCAAGUCGAGCGAACGGACGAGAAGCUUGCUUCUCUGAUGUUAGCGGCGGACGGGUGAGUAACACGUGGAUAACCUACCUAUAAGACUGGGAUAACUUCGGGAAACCGUAGCUAAUACCGGAUAAUAUUUUGAACCGCAUGGUUCAAAAGUGAAAGACGGUCUUGCUGUCACUUAUAGAUGGAUCCGCGCUGCAUUAGCUAGUUGGUAAGGUAACGGCUUACCAAGGCAACGAUGCAUAGUCGACCUGAGAGGGUGAUCGGCCACACUGGAACUGAGACACGGUCCAGACUCCUACGGGAGGCAGCAGUAGGGAAUCUUCCGCAAUGGGCGAAAGCCUGACGGAGCAACGCCGCGUGAGUGAUGAAGGUCUUCGGAUCGUAAAACUCUGUUAUUAGGGAAGAACAUAUGUGUAAGUAACUGUGCACAUCUUGACGGUACCUAAUCAGAAAGCCACGGCUAACUACGUGCCAGCAGCCGCGGUAAUACGUAGGUGGCAAGCGUUAUCCGGAAUUAUUGGGCGUAAAGCGCGCGUAGGCGGUUUUUUAAGUCUGAUGUGAAAGCCCACGGCUCAACCGUGGAGGGUCAUUGGAAACUGGAAAACUUGAGUGCAGAAGAGGAAAGUGGAAUUCCAUGUGUAGCGGUGAAAUGCGCAGAGAUAUGGAGGAACACCAGUGGCGAAGGCGACUUUCUGGUCUGUAACUGACGCUGAUGUGCGAAAGCGUGGGGAUCAAACAGGACUAGAUACCCUGGUAGUCCACGCCGUAAACGAUGAGUGCUAAGUGUUAGGGGGUUUCCGCCCCUUAGUGCUGCAGCUAACGCAUUAAGCACUCCGCCUGGGGAGUACGACCGCAAGGUUGAAACUCAAAGGAAUUGACGGGGACCCGCACAAGCGGUGGAGCAUGUGGUUUAAUUCGAAGCAACGCGAAGAACCUUACCAAAUCUUGACAUCCUUUGACAACUCUAGAGAUAGAGCCUUCCCCUUCGGGGGACAAAGUGACAGGUGGUGCAUGGUUGUCGUCAGCUCGUGUCGUGAGAUGUUGGGUUAAGUCCCGCAACGAGCGCAACCCUUAAGCUUAGUUGCCAUCAUUAAGUUGGGCACUCUAAGUUGACUGCCGGUGACAAACCGGAGGAAGGUGGGGAUGACGUCAAAUCAUCAUGCCCCUUAUGAUUUGGGCUACACACGUGCUACAAUGGACAAUACAAAGGGCAGCGAAACCGCGAGGUCAAGCAAAUCCCAUAAAGUUGUUCUCAGUUCGGAUUGUAGUCUGCAACUCGACUACAUGAAGCUGGAAUCGCUAGUAAUCGUAGAUCAGCAUGCUACGGUGAAUACGUUCCCGGGUCU